CCUGGCGGCCUUAGCGCGGUGGUCCCACCUGACCCCAUGCCGAACUCAGAAGUGAAACGCCGUAGCGCCGAUGGUAGUGUGGGGUCUCCCCAUGCGAGAGUAGGG
Molecule: ribosomal RNA, 105 nt
Filed under: Acinetobacter baumannii
Lineage: Bacteria; Pseudomonadati; Pseudomonadota; Gammaproteobacteria; Moraxellales; Moraxellaceae
Also listed under: 1 other name
Source: RNAcentral